CGGCACGGGUGGGUAACACGUAUCCAACCUGCCGUCUACUCUUGGCCAGCCUUCUGAAAGGAAGAUUAAUCCAGGAUGGGAUCAUGAGUUCACAUGUCCGCAUGAUUAAAGGUAUUUUCCGGUAGACGAUGGGGAUGCGUUCCAUUAGAUAGUAGGCGGGGUAACGGCCCACCUAGUCAACGAUGGAUAGGGGUUCUGAGAGGAAGGUCCCCCACAUUGGAACUGAGACACGGUCCAA
Molecule: ribosomal RNA, 238 nt
Filed under: uncultured bacterium
Lineage: Bacteria
Description: partial 16S ribosomal RNA
Rfam family: Bacterial small subunit ribosomal RNA
Source: RNAcentral